AAAAAUUUAGUUAAAAAAUAACAUUAGUCUGUCAUGCUAAAAUUGUCAAUGGGAUAAUUUUUU
Molecule: transfer RNA, 63 nt
Filed under: Phygasia ornata
Lineage: Eukaryota; Metazoa; Arthropoda; Insecta; Coleoptera; Chrysomelidae
Description: tRNA-Asp
Source: RNAcentral